Boleophthalmus pectinirostris (great blue-spotted mudskipper) is the source of this 764-nucleotide long non-coding RNA. RefSeq lists it as uncharacterized. The transcript has 3 exons. The record is from RefSeq and is a predicted model, not a curated record. Lineage: Eukaryota; Metazoa; Chordata; Actinopteri; Gobiiformes; Gobiidae.
AGUAGUACUAGCACAACUACAACAACAUGACUACUACAACUACUACUACUACUACCAGUCCAGAGGUGGGACCAAGUCGUUGUUUUGCAAGUCUCAAGAAGUGCUCUGACCUGGAAAUGGAAGAUGCCGGCGUAUCCAUUGCUGAAAUCCUGACCGUGUGGGACGACUCUGUGCAGCAGCUCAUCGUUCAAAGUGAGAGAGGCGAUAGCGGCCAGCAGCCAGCAGUCACCUGAGGACAAAGGACAUCGUAAACAUAAUUCACAUAGACAGCAAGGGAGAGGAGCUUAAAGUUAAAUGAAGAAAGAAGAAAAUGAAGAAGAAAAUGGAUGAGAUGUGUAAUAUGCCUGAGGAACUAUAACACCAAAAUGUUCUAUCAUGACUUUCUUAUUGUCAGUAAUAUUAAAUGUUUAGAUUAGAGGAAAAAAUUAACAAUACAAUACUUACAAAUCCAAUAUGGACAAUGACAACGUUAUUUUUUAUUUUAUUUACAUCUUUUAUGGGAGCGGUGGAAUAUUGUGUAUACAAAUUUUUACAAAAAAUUUAAAUCCAUGAUUUGUUGCAUGGCACUGUGAUAAUUGCUAUUGUGUUGCUGUGAGAAAUAUACAGAUAAACAGGUCCUAAAUUGUACAAAUCAUAGCAUGUACCAGCCUGUGUGGAAUUGCAGUUAGACUUUUUGAGUUUGAGUUGUGUCUCAGGUGUGUGUGGGCACAGUUUGAGAAUAAAAAAUAGACUAAAUAAUAAAAGACUUUGUUGUUGUAGACUUA